UAAGGAAUAUUGGUCAAUGGACGCAAGUCUGAACCAGCAACGCCGCGUGAGGGAUGAAGUAUUUCGGUAUGUAAACCUCGAAAGAAUGGGAAGAAUAAAUGACGGUACCAUUUAUAAGCUCCGGCUAACUACGUGCCAGCAGCCGCGGUAAUACGUAGGGAGCAAGCGUUGUUCGGAUUUACUGGGCGUAAAGGGCGCGUAGGCGGCGCGGUAAGUCACUUGUGAAAUCUCUGAGCUUAACUCAGAACGGCCAAGUGAUACUGCUGUGCUAGAGUGCGGAAGAGGCAACCGGAAUUCUUGGUGUAGCGGUGAGAUGCGUAGAUAUCAAGAGGAACACCUGAGGCGAAGGCGGGUUGCUGGGCCGACACUGACGCUGAUGCGCGAAAGCCAGGGGAGCAAACG
Molecule: ribosomal RNA, 402 nt
Filed under: uncultured bacterium
Lineage: Bacteria
Description: bacterial SSU rRNA
Rfam family: Bacterial small subunit ribosomal RNA
Source: RNAcentral